Molecule: ribosomal RNA, 467 nt
Filed under: uncultured bacterium
Lineage: Bacteria
Description: partial 16S ribosomal RNA
Rfam family: Bacterial small subunit ribosomal RNA
Source: RNAcentral
ACGAACGCUGGCGGCGUGCUUAACACCUGCAAGUCGAACGGAAAGGCCCUGCUUUUGUGGGGUGCUCGAGUGGCGAACGGGUGAGUAACACGUGAGUAACCUGCCCUUGACUUUGGGGUAACUUCAGGAAACUGGGGCUAAUACCGGAUAGGAGCUCCUGCUGCAUGGUGGGGGUUGGAAAGUUUCGGCGGUUGGGGAUGGACUCGCGGCUUAUCAGCUUGUUGGUGGGGUAGUGGCUUACCAAGGCUUUGACGGGUAGCCGGCCUGAGAGGGUGACCGGCCACAUUGGGACUGAGAUACGGCCCAGACUCCUACGGGAGGCAGCAGUGGGGAAUAUUGCACAAUGGGCGGAAGCCUGAUGCAGCAACGCCGCGUGCGGGAUGACGGCCUUCGGGUUGUAAACCGCUUUCGCCUGUGACGAAGCGUGAGUGACGGUAAUGGGUAAAGAAGCACCGGCUAACUACGUG